Molecule: transfer RNA, 67 nt
Filed under: Montfortula punctata
Lineage: Eukaryota; Metazoa; Mollusca; Gastropoda; Lepetellida; Fissurellidae
Description: tRNA-Ser
Rfam family: tRNA
About the family: Transfer RNA (tRNA) molecules are approximately 80 nucleotides in length.
Source: RNAcentral
AGUUAUUAGCUAGGCAGCAAAUCUGUUUUGAAAACAGACUAAAAGUGUUCAAAUCACUUAAUAACUU